Molecule: ribosomal RNA, 505 nt
Filed under: uncultured bacterium
Lineage: Bacteria
Description: partial 16S ribosomal RNA
Rfam family: Bacterial small subunit ribosomal RNA
Source: RNAcentral
GACGAACGCUGGCGGCGUGCCUAAUACAUGCAAGUAGAACGCACAGUUUAUACCGUAGCUUGCUCCACCAUAGACUGUGAGGUGCGAACGGGUGAGUAACGCGUAGGUAACCUACCUGGUAGCGGGGGAUAACUAUUGGAAACGAUAGCUAAUACCGCAUAAUAUUGAUUAUUGCAUGAUAAUUGAUUGAAAGAUGCUAUUGCAUCACUACCAGAUGGACCUGCGUUGUAUUAGCUAGUAGGUGAGGUAACGGCUCACCUAGGCGACGAUACAUAGCCGACCUGAGAGGGUGAUCGGCCACACUGGGACUGAGACACGGCCCAGACUCCUACGGGAGGCAGCAGUAGGGAAUCUUCGGCAAUGGACGAAAGUCUGACCGAGCAACGCCGCGUGAGUGAAGAAGGUUUUCGGAUCGUAAAGCUCUGUUGUAAGAGAAGAACGGGUGUGAGAGUGGAAAGUUCACACUGUGACGGUAUCUUACCAGAAAGGGACGGCUAACUACGUG